AGGAUGAGUAAGAUUAAGGACGUAAAAAGCGAAAGUGGAUUUUCGGACGAUUCUAAAUAUUCAAAAAUAUUAAAAAGCGUGAAAAAUCGCUUGACGUCCAAAACGAGCACUAACGUGUCAAUUGAUCCGAAAGACUCCGUGGAAAAAUCUGCAGUUGACACUGCGUGGAAACAUAAGUUUCCCGAGCGUCAAUCUAAUGUACGUUCAAACAAAGAUACGAUGAUAUCACAGCGGGAGUCGCACAACCGUUCUGGUAGUAGAGGUUGGUGGUCACGUGUGUAGCCGUCUAAAUAGAUUGAUAUAUCGGCUUAUGCUUUAUAAAUAGUUGAUUUUUUUUUAUGAUUUAAUGUACAUCAAUACAAGGCCAGAUUAAAAGUGAAUAGAAAAUUAAA
Daktulosphaira vitifoliae (grape phylloxera) is the source of this 392-nucleotide long non-coding RNA. RefSeq lists it as uncharacterized. The record is from RefSeq and is a predicted model, not a curated record. NCBI's taxonomy places the organism in Eukaryota, Metazoa, Arthropoda, Insecta, Hemiptera, Phylloxeridae. The transcript is spliced from 2 exons.